RNAcentral lists this ribosomal RNA (1493 nucleotides) under uncultured organism. RNAcentral's name for it is "SSU rRNA". It matches the Rfam family "Bacterial small subunit ribosomal RNA". The record is from RNAcentral.
ACGAACGCUGGCGGCGUGCCUAAUACAUGCAAGUCGAACGAACUCUGGUAUUGAUUGGUGCUUGCAUCAUGAUUUACAUUUGAGUGAGUGGCGAACUGGUGAGUAACACGUGGGAAACCUGCCCAGAAGCGGGGGAUAACACCUGGAAACAGAUGCUAAUACCGCAUAACAACUUGGACCGCAUGGUCCGAGUUUGAAAGAUGGCUUCGGCUAUCACUUUUGGAUGGUCCCGCGGCGUAUUAGCUAGAUGGUGGGGUAACGGCUCACCAUGGCAAUGAUACGUAGCCGACCUGAGAGGGUAAUCGGCCACAUUGGGACUGAGACACGGCCCAAACUCCUACGGGAGGCAGCAGUAGGGAAUCUUCCACAAUGGACGAAAGUCUGAUGGAGCAACGCCACGUGAGUGAAGAAGGGUUUCGGCUCGUAAAACUCUGUUGUUAAAGAAGAACAUAUCUGAGAGUAACUGUUCAGGUAUUGACGGUAUUUAACCAGAAAGCCACGGCUAACUACGUGCCAGCAGCCGCGGUAAUACGUAGGUGGCAAGCGUUGUCCGGAUUUAUUGGGCGUAAAGCGAGCGCAGGCGGUUUUUUAAGUCUGAUGUGAAAGCCUUCGGCUCAACCGAAGAAGUGCAUCGGAAACUGGGAAACUUGAGUGCAGAAGAGGACAGUGGAACUCCAUGUGUAGCGGUGAAAUGCGUAGAUAUAUGGAAGAACACCAGUGGCGAAGGCGGCUGUCUGGUCUGUAACUGACGCUGAGGCUCGAAAGUAUGGGUAGCAAACAGGAUUAGAUACCCUGGUAGUCCAUACCGUAAACGAUGAAUGCUAAGUGUUGGAGGGUUUCCGCCCUUCAGUGCUGCAGCUAACGCAUUAAGCAUUCCGCCUGGGGAGUACGGCCGCAAGGCUGAAACUCAAAGGAAUUGACGGGGGCCCGCACAAGCGGUGGAGCAUGUGGUUUAAUUCGAAGCUACGCGAAGAACCUUACCAGGUCUUGACAUACUAUGCAAAUCUAAGAGAUUAGACGUUCCCUUCGGGGACAUGGAUACAGGUGGUGCAUGGUUGUCGUCAGCUCGUGUCGUGAGAUGUUGGGUUAAGUCCCGCAACGAGCGCAACCCUUAUUAUCAGUUGCCAGCAUUAAGUUGGGCACUCUGGUGAGACUGCCGGUGACAAACCGGAGGAAGGUGGGGAUGACGUCAAAUCAUCAUGCCCCUUAUGACCUGGGCUACACACGUGCUACAAUGGAUGGUACAACGAGUUGCGAACUCGCGAGAGUAAGCUAGUCUCUUAAAGCCAUUCUCAGUUCGGAUUGUAGGCUGCAACUCGCCUACAUGAAGUCGGAAUCGCUAGUAAUCGCGGAUCAGCAUGCCGCGGUGAAUACGUUCCCGGGCCUUGUACACACCGCCCGUCACACCAUGAGAGUUUGUAACACCCAAAGUCGGUGGGGUAACCUUUUAGGAACCAGCCGCCUAAGGUGGGACAGAUGAUUAGGGUGAAGUC